AAUCUGGGGCUUGCUCUGGUGGAUUAGUGGCGAACGGGUGAGUAACACGUGAGUAACCUGCCCUUGACUCUGGGAUAAGCGUUGGAAACGACGUCUAAUACCGGAUACGAGCUUCAGCCGCAUGGCUAGGAGUUGGAAAGAAUUUUGGUCAAGGAUGGACUCGCGGCCUAUCAGGUAGUUGGUGAGGUAAUGGCUCACCAAGCCGACGACGGGUAGCCGGCCUGAGAGGGUGACCGGCCACACUGGGACUGAGACACGGCCCAGACUCCUACGGGAGGCAGCAGUGGGGAAUAUUGCACAAUGGGCGAAAGCCUGAUGCAGCAACGCCGCGUGAGGGACGACGGCCUUCGGGUUGUAAACCUCUUUUAGCAGGGAAGAAGCGAUGUGCUUGUCAUGUCAUGACGGUACCUGCAGAAAAAGCACCGGCUAACUACGUGCCAGCAGCCGCGGUAAUACGUAGGGUGCAAGCGUUGUCCGGAAUUAUUGGGCGUAAAGAGCUCGUAGGCGGUUUGUCGCGUCUGCUGUGAAAACGCGAGGCUCAACCUCGCGCCUGCAGUGGGUACGGGCAGACUAGAGUGCGGUAGGGGAGAUUGGAAUUCCUGGUGUAGCGGUGGAAUGCGCAGAUAUCAGGAGGAACACCAAUGGCGAAGGCAGAUCUCUGGGCCGUAACUGACGCUGAGGAGCGAAAGCAUGGGGAGCGAACAGGAUUAGAUACCCUGGUAGUCCAUGCCGUAAACGUUGGGAACUAGAUGUAGGGACCAUUCCACGGUUUCUGUGUCGCAGCUAACGCAUUAAGUUCCCCGCCUGGGGAGUACGGUCGCAAGACUAAAACUCAAAGGAAUUGAC
RNAcentral lists this ribosomal RNA (846 nucleotides) under Leifsonia sp. N10. RNAcentral's name for it is "bacterial SSU rRNA". It matches the Rfam family "Bacterial small subunit ribosomal RNA", at positions 70 to 914 of the family's 1533-position model. Lineage: Bacteria; Bacillati; Actinomycetota; Actinomycetes; Micrococcales; Microbacteriaceae. The record is from RNAcentral.